GAAAAGCGCGAUUUGGCGCUCGCUCUAGCGUCAAAAAUCAGAAACCGAGCGCCAAAACUCAAUAUCAUUGGUCGUUUCGGUCGAUUUACGUCAUUUCUAGACGGACCGUUGACGAUGUAAGAUCUUUGUCGGUUGGCUCUCCAGAAUUUUUAAGGAAAGUGCCUUUUUCCUGUAUAUUGUGCUCGGAAAUCAUGUGUAGUGCAGAGCUGGACUCUUGGAAAGGAUUAUGUCAGAAAUUAUCCAGGGUUACGGAUAUCCAAGGACCACGCUGCCAGUGAAGAAGGAGAUGACGAAUAUCAACACAUCAACACAGAUCUUCAAGUUGCAAAGAAACCAGGCUGCCUUUGGAUGGAAUGGACCAAGGAUCGGUAUGGGUCUGGACACGUCAUAUAGCGCAGGUCGUACCUGAGCUCGGGCGCUGUAUCCAGACGUGCUGCACUGCGGGAGUGAAUGUGCGCCUUUACACAUUUUGCUCGGUACAAUCGCGGGUAGGGCCCAGCUGGACUCGAGAGAUGAUCGCAAUCGAAUGGGGACACACAAUUGUAAUUACCAAACUACACUUACUUUACCCAUGCAGACGGCUCAUGGAAUGCUAUCACGUGAAAAUCCAUCAACGCUCCCAGCUAGUAAGCGUGCGGUUUAAUGUCUCUACUAUCAGGCUCUAAAGACAUGACCGCUGAGUUCGUGUUAGAUUAAUCCGUCGUUUUACAUAGUCUGGGUUCAAUAUCACAAGUGUCACUCUUUUUCUCUAAAGCAAAUAAAACUCUAUAAGAAAUGUUUAUAGACUUUUAUCCAUGAA
Molecule: long non-coding RNA, 799 nt
Organism: Sitophilus oryzae (rice weevil)
Lineage: Eukaryota; Metazoa; Arthropoda; Insecta; Coleoptera; Curculionidae
Exons: 3
Source: RefSeq, a predicted model, not a curated record